RNAcentral lists this ribosomal RNA (262 nucleotides) under uncultured archaeon. Its description in RNAcentral is "partial 16S ribosomal RNA". It matches the Rfam family "Archaeal small subunit ribosomal RNA", at positions 748 to 1008 of the family's 1478-position model. The record is from RNAcentral.
AGGGUGUAAACGCUGCAGACUUGGUGUUGGAAGUCCUUUGGGGGCAUUCAGUGCCGGAGAGAAGUUGUUAAGUCUGCUACUUGGGGAGUACGUCCGCAAGGAUGAAACUUAAAGGAGUUGGCGGGGGAGCACCGCAACGGGAGGAGCGUGCGGUUUAAUUGGAUUCAACACCGUAAAACUCACCAGGGAAGACUGUUACAUGAAGGCCGAGAUGAAGACUCUGCUAGAUUUUUCAGAGAGGAGGUGCAUGGCGUCAGUGACU